CACGAAACCCUAUAUAAGACUCAAAGUCGUCUCCUUCUUUCAUUGAAAUCUCCAUCACUGAGUUUCUUUCAAUAAGGCUGAAAAAUGAAUUCCGUACUCUCUUUAUUGGUUGUGUUAAGCGUCGCUGUGUGUGUCAGCGCUGGAAGUUACGGUGGGGGACAGUAUCUUAAUUAUCAACAAUAUGUCAGGCCAGCUUACACCCAAAUGCAGUACUACCAACCGGCAUACUUAAAAACAAGUUAUGUUCAGCCAUCUUACGUCGGAUAUGGUAACACCGGAAGUGGAUUGAAUCUUUUUAAUGGUUCUGAUGCUGGCUCCAUCAUUCCAAUUGUCAUCAUUUUCCUCCUUUUGGCCUUCUUUGCUCCUCUGCUGAUUGGAUCCCUUGCCUCAAGUAACGAAGCUUUGUGGGAUUCAGUGGACAGCGUUGACUAUAAGAAAUAAAGAAUUAAUUAGGAUUGUAUACGGAAGACACACGAGUUUGGGAGAAUUUAUUUUCCAUCUAUCCAUCGAAAUGGGAUAUUGAACCAAU
Long non-coding RNA from Magallana angulata, 529 nucleotides. RefSeq lists it as uncharacterized. The transcript has 4 exons. NCBI's taxonomy places the organism in Eukaryota, Metazoa, Mollusca, Bivalvia, Ostreida, Ostreidae. The record is from RefSeq and is a predicted model, not a curated record.